GACGAACGCUGGCGGCGUGCUUAACACAUGCAAGUCGAAUGGUAAGGCCCUUCGGGGUACACGAGUGGCGAACGGGUGAGUAACACGUGGGUGAUCUGCCCUGCACUUCGGGAUAAGCCUGGGAAACUGGGUCUAAUACCGGAUAGGACCCUGGGAUGCAUGUCCUGGGGUGGAAAGCUUUUGCGGUGUGGGAUGGGCCCGCGGCCUAUCAGCUUGUUGGUGGGGUGAUGGCCUACCAAGGCGACGACGGGUAGCCGGCCUGAGAGGGUGACCGGCCACACUGGGACUGAGAUACGGCCCAGACUCCUACGGGAGGCAGCAGUGGGGAAUAUUGCACAAUGGGCGCAAGCCUGAUGCAGCGACGCCGCGUGAGGGAUGACGGCCUUCGGGUUGUAAACCUCUUUCAGCACCGACGAAGCGCGAGUGACGGUAGGUGCAGAAGAAGGACCGGCCAACUACGUGCCAGCAGCCGCAGUAA
Molecule: ribosomal RNA, 478 nt
Filed under: uncultured bacterium
Lineage: Bacteria
Description: partial 16S ribosomal RNA
Rfam family: Bacterial small subunit ribosomal RNA
Source: RNAcentral